GCCCCACCAGCCUAAAUGAUAUCAAGGGCCUAGUAAUUUAUAAUUUUUAUAUUACCCUAGAAAAUACAACCAGUCAAGAUUCCUAGUGCCUACAUGCAUCCUAUACAUUACAGGCUAGAAAAGAGAGAGUGGUACAUUACAGAUUUCAUGAGUAUCAUAUCAUUUAUUUUGAUAGUUUUGGUCAUACUAUGAUUCAAUAUCAAUUUUUUAAACUAUGUAUUACAAAAAAUUAUGCCACCCAUAAUGUUGAUCACGCAAACUAACAACAAUAAAUUUGCAACAAUAUAACUUACCAUGCCAUAAUCGGUGACAAUCAU
RNAcentral lists this unclassified non-coding RNA (317 nucleotides) under Hevea brasiliensis (rubber tree). The record is from RNAcentral. Lineage: Eukaryota; Viridiplantae; Streptophyta; Magnoliopsida; Malpighiales; Euphorbiaceae.